UGUGGUUGGGGGUGGGGUUGCGCGGUCCCAUUCCGAACCCGGAAGCUAAGCCCUGGCACGGCGAUGGUACUAUGCCCGAGAGGACAUGGGAGAGUAGCACACCGCCGCAA
Molecule: ribosomal RNA, 110 nt
Filed under: Bifidobacterium animalis
Lineage: Bacteria; Bacillati; Actinomycetota; Actinomycetes; Bifidobacteriales; Bifidobacteriaceae
Source: RNAcentral